AUGUUUCAUUUUUUGCAAAAUCAGAGAUUUUUGAAAGUUUUAGAAUUCAGGACAGGGAAAAUAAAAAAUUAUCCCAUCCCAAAUUCCCAAUCCACAUACAUUGUUGUCGUGCCCUCGGAAAAAUAUGGCUCCUUCUCCUCGGACGGGACGGCAGGGUCAGGUAUGAUAUUAAGAAGGAAUGACGGGAGCGUAAUCUUUGCUGCAUACCGUCAUUUACUCGUUUGUAAUGAUGCUCUUGAAGCCGAGCUCCAUGCAAUCAGUGGUGAUUCAAUCGGAUUUCUCAACAGCCUAUCGUCGUUAUCUGAGGCCCUGGAUCGGUUAGCUUAUGGUCAUCUUAUUUUAGAGAUCGGAGUCUUAUGGUCAGUACGGAGUUUGUUCCUAUGA
This 384-nucleotide ribosomal RNA is filed under the name Triticum aestivum (bread wheat). RNAcentral describes it as "partial small subunit ribosomal RNA". The record is from RNAcentral. Lineage: Eukaryota; Viridiplantae; Streptophyta; Magnoliopsida; Poales; Poaceae.